ACCACUUCCACUUACCACUUCCAUUACUACCACGACUACCACUAACCAUCACCACUUUCAUCUCCAUUCUUGUCAUUAUUGGCUUGUUGUACGUUGUUCAAAUGUUUCAACGUAUGUACAUUUGUGACUACGAUUUCUUGUUAGCGAUAUAAACGAAGAGGAUAAAGACUUUGGAGUAAAUAAUUUUGGCCGUGCCACUAGCAUAAUGUAUUUGUGCGUCUAGGUAUCCUUAGCGUUGCAAGUGGAAAGUGGCUUCACACUAUAAAUGGUUGACACAGCUAAUACAUUAGACAUAAACUUUCUCAGCAUUCACGAACAGUAAAAAUACUAUUGGUAAAUGAUUCAUGGAUAUAUAGUAUUAGUAUUUGGCAUUCGUUUCGCUUAUGAAUUGUGAUUGAACCGAUAUCGUAUCAUCAUUAAAAGUUUCCUGUACAUCUUCUACAUCAUUCAAACAUGUGGAAGAAUCAUAAAUUUCACAAAAAUAAUGUCUCAAUCGCAUACGUAUUGGCUGCUCUGACUGGCUUGGNCUUCUGNAUGGGGAUCCAAAAUAGACGAGAAUGGUCAAUNC
Molecule: small RNA, 568 nt
Filed under: Schizosaccharomyces pombe (fission yeast)
Lineage: Eukaryota; Fungi; Ascomycota; Schizosaccharomycetes; Schizosaccharomycetales; Schizosaccharomycetaceae
Description: small heterochromatic RNA precursor
Source: RNAcentral